UUGGAGGGCAAGUCUGGUGCCAGCAGCCGCGGUAAUUCCAGCUCCAAUAGCGUAUAUUAAAGUUGUUGCAGUUAAAAAGCUCGUAGUUGAAUUUCGGGAUCAGUACGUUGGUCGUGCCUUAGGUACGUACUGGUGUUACUGGUUCCUACCUUCUGACGAACCACCAUGUCAUUCAUUUGGUGUGGCGGGGAAUCAGGACUGUUACUUUGAAAAAAUUAGAGUGUUUAAAGCAGGCUCGCGCUUGAAUACAUUAGCAUGGAAUAAUGAAAUAGGACGUUGAUCCUAUUUUGUUGGUCUCUAGGAUUGACGUAAUGAUUAAUAGGGAUAGUUGGGGGCAUUAGUAUUCAAUUGUCAGAGGUGAAAUUCUUGGAUUUAUUGAAGACUAACUACUGCGAAAGCAUUUGCCAAGGAUGUUUUCGUUAAUCAAGAACGAAAGUUAGGGGAUCGAAGACGAUCAGAUACCGUCGUAGUCUUAACCAUAAACUAUGCCGACUAGGGAUCGGAUGAUGUUAAUUUUUUAAUGACUCAUUCGGCGCCUUACGGGAAAC
This 548-nucleotide ribosomal RNA is filed under the name uncultured Glomeromycotina. RNAcentral's name for it is "SSU rRNA". It matches the Rfam family "Eukaryotic small subunit ribosomal RNA", at positions 548 to 1098 of the family's 1831-position model. The record is from RNAcentral. Lineage: Eukaryota; Fungi; Glomeromycota.